AGCGAACGCUGGCGGCAUGCUUAACACAUGCAAGUCGCGCGGGUGGUUUCGGCCAUCGGCGGCGGACGGGUGAGUAUCGCGUAGGAAUGUAUCCCGAGGUGGGGGACAACCCUGGGAAACUGGGGCUAAUACCGCAUGGGGCCUGUGGGGCAAAGCCUUAGAACGCCUUGGGAGCAGCCUGCGUCCGGUUAGGUAGUUGGUGGGGUAAAGGCCUACCAAGCCUGCGAUCGGUAGAUGGUCUGAGAGGACGAUCAGCCACACUGGGACUGAGACACGGCACAGACUCCUACGGGAGGCAGCAGUGGGGAAUAUUGGACAAUGGGCGCAAGCCUGAUCCAGCAAUGCCGCGUGGGUGAAGAAGGUCUUCGGAUUGUAAAGCCCUUUCGGCGGGGACGAUGAUGACGGUACCCGCAGAAGAAGCCCCGGCUAACUUCGUG
Molecule: ribosomal RNA, 437 nt
Filed under: uncultured bacterium
Lineage: Bacteria
Description: partial 16S ribosomal RNA
Rfam family: Bacterial small subunit ribosomal RNA
Source: RNAcentral